Gossypium arboreum is the source of this 794-nucleotide long non-coding RNA. RefSeq lists it as uncharacterized. Lineage: Eukaryota; Viridiplantae; Streptophyta; Magnoliopsida; Malvales; Malvaceae. The transcript is spliced from 2 exons. The record is from RefSeq and is a predicted model, not a curated record.
UCAACCUUCAAAACAAAAAAGGUUUAAAAACUCUCUCAACCUCUUUUAUGUCCGGCCCAACUCCGGCCGUGGUCCAAUCAUAAGACCGACGUCGUCCACCGCGCCGGCCACCAUACACGGUGGCCAAAAAUCGAAAGAAGGUUGGGGAAGAAGUCAACGAGGUAGGUGGCCAUUUUGGUGCUAGCGGGCUAGGGGAGCCAACCCUCGAGCGAAGAACGUGCAGACGAGGCACGUGGGCGAUAGCAGGGAGGCACGACGCUAAAGGGUGGCUAAGGUUUCCUUUGCUGAAACUAGUUUAGGUAGUGGGCUUAUCGGGCUUAGGGUUAUUUUAAUUUUGGGCCUAUUGGGUUGUAAUUUUGGCUGGGUUUAAUUGUGUUUGAUGUUUGAGUUGAUUUAAUGGGCUUAUUUAUGGUUUAGUGGGCCGGGUAAAAUUUGGACUGUACAGCUGCCCCUCUUUGCUUGUUAUCGUGUAACGAGAAUAGAGCAAAGACUUUUAAAAAAAGAUCAAAUUUGCCCGGUCUUCUUGAGUCUUGGCUUCUUCGGUUUAAAUGCCAAUUAAGACUCAAGUCUUGGUCAACUCGUCGUACCUAUGGAAGUUAAGAUAUGUGGGAUUUUCUUUUUGAGAAAAUAUAAGUGGUUUAGUUUUGGCCACAUUAUCAGUUUCUCUUUCUUCUCAUGCUUAACUUCUGUCAAUAUUUUGGAACCACUUGUGUUUGUUUAAGGUUAAAUUUUGCUCUUAGUCCCUGUACUUUAUGAAAGUUGUAAAUUUAGUUCUUGUAUUUUAAUUUGAUUAA